This 226-nucleotide long non-coding RNA is filed under the name Elaeis guineensis (African oil palm). RNAcentral's name for it is "long non-coding RNA (EGUI_LNC053056)". Lineage: Eukaryota; Viridiplantae; Streptophyta; Magnoliopsida; Arecales; Arecaceae. The record is from RNAcentral.
UUACAUGAUUAUUACAUAGCAUUAAAUCAAAAAUUAAAAUAUAUAAAUAUAGCAUGAACUACAUGUUGAUCAUAUCAACAUAUUUCUAUACCACAUCUAAUAUAUGUAUUAAACAAUAGAUCAGAUCUAUUACCUUGCAAGUUAGACGUUCUAACCUUGCUGAUCCAGGCUUAAGGAUGAUGUUGCAAGCCGCACACGUGUCCGACCUCUAGGAGUCAUCCACACG